This is an RNA transcript of Macadamia integrifolia, 2772 nucleotides long. It is a transcript of the gene named ABC transporter B family member 28, with no coding region annotated. The record is from RefSeq and is a predicted model, not a curated record. The transcript has 17 exons. NCBI's taxonomy places the organism in Eukaryota, Viridiplantae, Streptophyta, Magnoliopsida, Proteales, Proteaceae.
GUAGCAACUAAUCGGUGGCGGAUACUGUGAAGUUUUGUCGUAAAUUAUUGAUCUUUCCAACAUCCCGAAACUCGGGAAAGCGAGACGAAUUCUCUCCGCUUCAAACAAGUCCAACUCAGAAGACAAGAGGAGCUGCGUCCAUGGCGUCUGCAAAUCUUCACCUUCCGGCCAAUCUCAAUCUCUCCCCACUUCCAAAAAGCUAUCCUCGCAGAAUCCACAGAGCCCAAUUCCCUCUAUCGCGGCCUAGGAGCAUCUCCCGCCAACUGUCAUUGAAGUUCUUCUCCUCAAGUCUCCCUACUUCGCCAAGAACACCAUUCAAGGGUGUUUGCUCUGCUGCUUACGUAUCGGCUCCAGCUUCUGAACCCAGUGUAAGCGAAAAUAAUCCCAAACUUGAGGGUUUGAACUCGCCGCCUGCAUAUGCUCAGUCUUCGACUACUAUAAGUUGGAGUCUUGUUUGGAGUCUUUUGCUUCGCCACAAGUUAAGGGUUGCUGUUUCAAUUGUCACACUUAUAGGUUGCACAUCUUGUACUCUUUCGAUGCCCAUCUUUUCAGGGAGAUUUUUUGAAGUACUCAUAGGGGUAAGACCAGAGCCUUUAUGGAAGCUGCUUAGUAAGGUUGGAGUUUUGUACAUGUUGGAGCCGAUUUUUACAGUUAUUUUCGUAAUAAACAUGAGCACCAUAUGGGAGAAGGUUAUGGCAGCCUUAAGAGCUCAUGUCUUUAGAAGGAUAUUGAUUCAGAAGAUGGAGUUUUUUGAUCGACACAAGGUUGGUGAGUUGAAUGGUUUGAUAACGUCUGAUUUGGGUUCUCUCAAAGAUAUUGUUAGUGAAAACAUUUCAAGGGAUCGUGGUUUUAGAGCACUUUCCGAGGUUGUGGGAACAUUAAGCAUACUCUUUGUUCUCUCUCCCCAGCUAGCUCCAAUUCUGGGGCUACUGAUGCUUUCAGUGUCCUUAUUAGUUGCUGUAUACAAACGGUCAACCAUACCUGUCUUCAAAGCUCAUGGAAAGGCACAAGCAUCCAUGUCCGAUUGUGCAACUGAAACAUUUUCAGCUAUUCGUACCGUUAGAUCUUUCGGUGGUGAGAAGCGUCAGAUGGCGAUGUUUGGUAAUCAGGUUCUUGCUUUCCAGACUAGUGGCAUAAGGCUGGGAACUUCCAAAUCUGCAAAUGAAUCCCUGACUAGAGUUGUAGUUUAUAUUUCUUUGAUGGCCUUAUACUGUCUAGGAGGAAGCAAAGUGAAGGCAGGUGAACUCUCUAUUGGAACCGUGGCUUCUUUUAUUGGAUAUACUUUCACAUUAACUUUUGCUGUUCAAGGGUUGGUUAACACAUUUGGUGAUCUUCGUGGAACUCUUGCUGCUAUUGAGCGUAUUAAUUCUGUUCUAUCGGGGACUGAAAUUGAUGAGUCCCUUGCUUGUGGUUUAGAAAGAGAACUCCAAAAGAAAGAAGUGGAUGAUGGCAGUCUCAGAGUAUUCCAAGACAAUGGUUCUGCUGAGAAAAAUCAAGCUCUAAAUAUGCAGUACAUGACAGCCUUGAAAUCAUCUAGUAGUGGGUGUAGUCUAGCUUGGUCUGGUGACAUAUGCUUAGAAGAUGUGUAUUUCUCAUAUCCUUUGAGACGUGACGUGGAAAUCCUGAACGGUCUUAACUUAACAUUAGAAUGUGGGACUGUAACAGCUCUUGUUGGUCCAAGUGGUGCAGGAAAAAGCACAAUUGUACAGCUAUUGGCGCGCUUCUAUGAGCCAACAAGAGGCCGUAUUACGGUGGCAGGAGAGGAUGUUCGAACAUUUGACAAGAGUGAAUGGGCUCGUGUUGUCUCUAUAGUAAAUCAGGAGCCUGUCCUAUUCUCGGUUUCUGUUGGAGAAAAUAUUGCAUAUGGAUUACCGGAUGAUAAUGUUUCCAAGGAUGAUGUGAUUAGAGCAGCCAAAGCUGCAAAUGCUCAUGAAUUCAUAAUUUCUCUUCCACAGGGUUAUGACACACUAGUUGGUGAACGUGGAAGCCUGCUGAGUGGUGGACAGAGGCAGAGGAUUGCUAUUGCCAGGGCUCUGCUAAAAAAUGCUCCAAUUCUGAUUCUUGAUGAGGCUACCAGUGCUUUAGACACAGUAAGUGAGGGCUUGGUCCAGGAAGCUCUUAACCACCUGAUGAAGGGGAGGACCACAUUGGUUAUUGCUCAUAGAUUAAGCACAGUCCAGAAUGCGCACCAAAUUGCUGUUUGUUCGGAUGGGAGGAUUUCAGAGCUAGGGACCCAUUUUGAGUUGUUGGCUCAAAAGGGUCAAUAUGCAUCACUGGUUGGCUCUCAAAGGCUUGCGUUUGAGUGAUUUGGCCAGGAACGAAAGAUAGCAGUUCAUCUUCUCAGCUACUUUGGAGAGAAGAUAUGCUCAAGUAUGCUGUUGUUUGAAAGCAGAAGUCAUGGAGGUUGCUUUAGGGGACUGUUUCGUCUGUUAUAUUUAUGUACAUUAUGACUGUCCCAAGAACCUGCAGUGACGGGAGCCUCGUGCACUGGGUACACCCUUUAUUUAUGUUCAUUUGCAGAUCUUUCUAAUUGUUUUGGGAAAAAAUCAAUUUCAGGUUGCUGCAAGCUGGACGCAUUGCUUGUGUUUUACGGUGGAGGUUUAGUUGCAGAAUUGCAGGAGACAAAUGCCAAUAUGUCAAGGAAAUUUUUUGUUUCUUUAUAAAAGUUUUUGUUGUUAAAAUAAAGAAAACUGAAUGCCAAUUAUUGUCUUUGUCUCUGCAAAACUCAAACAUUAACCUAAUGAAGGUUCUCAAGAUAAUGUUUUGGCUUCC